GGGAGGAGGAGCUCGGGUUUGGGGUGCUCGAGGUUUCUCUUGCCACAGUGAUAUGUGUUUCCAGCCAGAAAGCUUUAUCUUCAGAUAUCAAAACUGUUAUCAAACAGCAGCUGGAGAAUGCCUCCAAUGGAUGGACAGCCUACAGGAUAGCUAGGCAGGCUUCCAGAAUGGGCAACCAUGAAAUGGCCAGAGAGCUCUAUCAAAGCCUGCUCACUCAAGUGGCAUCAGAACACUUCUACUUCUGGCUGAACAGCUUGAAGGAGUUCUCCCAUGCAGAACAAUGUCUGACAGGCCUGCAGGAGGACAACUACAGCUCGGCGCUGUCUUGCAUUGCUGAAGCUUUAAAAUCCUAUCACAAAGGAAUAGCAUCACUGACGGUUAGCACAGAUGUACUUUAGUGAUACCUUAGUGUACUUUAGAUGUACUUUACUGUAUACUGUAGCAUAGAAUCACAGACUGGUUUGGGUUGGAAAGGAGCUUAAGGUCUAGUGCCAACCCAACUAGGGGCAGUCACAGCUUCUCUGGGCACCCUGUGCCAGUGCAUCAGCACCCUCACAGGGAAGAACUUCUUUCUUAUGUCCAACCUGAACUUGCCUUGUUUCAGUUUGAAGCCAUCAACCUCUGUCCUAUUGCUGUGGUCCUUGAUCUGUUUGAUUUCUGUUCUUAAACCUCCGAGAAGUUUUUUGACAGUUGCUGACUCUGUUUGAGAGGACGGCAGGGAAGAGCCAGUUGUAACACACUGCAUCUGCAGAGAGAAGAUCCUGUAGCUCAGCCAAGUGUGAUUAGCUAGACUCCUUCACCACCUCCCCUUCCUGCCUUGAUCAGACCCUGUGAUAUGAUCACACAGGCACAUCUGGUUUUAAAGUCACAGCACUUAAAAUUUGUCACUCCUUGUUUUGGCUGAAUAAACACUAUUGUAAUAGUCAA
Long non-coding RNA from Melopsittacus undulatus (budgerigar), 927 nucleotides. RefSeq lists it as uncharacterized. Lineage: Eukaryota; Metazoa; Chordata; Aves; Psittaciformes; Psittaculidae. The record is from RefSeq and is a predicted model, not a curated record. The transcript has 3 exons.